RNAcentral lists this long non-coding RNA (9204 nucleotides) under Marmota monax (woodchuck). The record is from RNAcentral. Lineage: Eukaryota; Metazoa; Chordata; Mammalia; Rodentia; Sciuridae.
GUUGUCGUACAGUGAGUACAGGCAUUUCUUUCUUUUUUUUUUAAUUUCCUUCAAGGAACAGCUGUUUUUACUACUAGCUCUGACCUUCCUCCUAUUUUGAGAAUAGAAGCUGCAUCAUUUGUAACGUAGAGCUUCAGCCUCCGUUCCGUAUCUGUCAAAACUUACCCUACCUUUUUUCUUGUUUUCAAGUAGCAACGCUUCUUUUGAACAAUUAAAAACUUUAAAGCCGUAGUCGCCUCCACGCUGAAUUUAAGAAUAGGUAGAGAACUGUAUUCACUUCAAAAGCUGUCACAGUUCCACAGAGGUGACACACAACAAUCACUGCUACAGUAGGUAAGUAAAGAUUUUUACAGAGAAUUUGCAGAUGAAGUGAUUUCUAAAUUGUUGUGUAGCUUGUAUUAGUGCAUCGGCAGGGUCAAGACGAAGGAAACUAACUCAAUAAAUCUUUCAAGUGUAUUUAAUGUUAAUUGUGUUGUUCCUUGGUGGGGAGGAAGUGGAGGAGGAUAAGAACUUGCAGGUAAGAUAGUUUCUUGGCUUGGCUACUUGGAAACCUCCCAAGAAUAAUAAUAAGAGAGAAAGAAAAAGGCUAGACUCUGAAUCCAGUCUUCCUUUUAGGCGUGGUAAAUGUUUUAAAUACAUCUCCUGCACGUGAGCUCUCAUUUCCAUCCCUCCCUCCCCAAGCUCUACAUAUCCUGGACUGAUGCAGAUUAGCGAGUUCAUAAAAAUGCAUCACAGACCCAUUUAAACUAUAUGAUUAACUGCUAAUAUAUGGUAUUAACUUGUAGGAUUUUUAUGGAGAUUAGCAUGUAUAAUUAUAUUUGAUGGUAUAUGAUAAUUACCUGUUUGUUUGCAUUUUAAAGUAUGAUGACUUGAGAACAUUCAUCAAUCCAUAUAUGGCUUCGAGUCUGAUAUAAAAUUGCAACUCAUUUUAAUUGUUUUUUUUUAAGUAAUCAAACUGACAUCUCUCAUAAUGUAAAGCCUAAAGGGGACUGACUAAUUUUAUGGAGAUGAUGCUAAUAAUACAGUGAUUGGAGGACUAAGUAAUUGAAAAGUACUCUUUAGAAAAUGGGCUGUUCUGAUCAAUAUUUUCCAAAUGGGCUAAUUAAGUGUGAAUGUAAUAUUGCCAUAUUUCCAAUAAAACAUACAAAAAUUCAACUUGGAUUCUGGCUUUUCAGGAUCCCAAAUAUAGACACUUCCAUGGAAAUGGUUUUAGAAUUCAGGAGGGAAGUGCUUUUGCAGCAGAGUGCUUAGCAGUGACAGCAGAGAACUUCCACUUGCUCACUCAGCAGGAGAAUCCUCACAACUUUCUUUACAUUAUCCACUCAGUACCCUGCUUUUUCUUUACUCCUGUGUCCUCUCAGACGCUAGUUUUACCUCUUUCCUGCAGAGUGACGGAUUCAAUCAUAGACACAGGAUUCCUGAUACCAUCUGACAACAGCUCUAUUUCCAUUCUACUCAUGGGUCCUGUUUGUUGACAUUUAAACUGACCUUGGGACUUGUUCCUUGUUCUUUGCUUACCCUGCCUCUCUGGGUGAGUCACCUUAUGAAAAAGUCCUACAUGAUAAUGCAUAGGCAAUAUACAACUUAACCUAGAGUUCAGGUUCCCUUCAACUGAAGUGUUGACUCAUAUUGACCACAUAAACUGGGUAAGAUCAAAUCCACUAAGGAAUUGCACACUGAAUCCAACCUUCAAGAUAUUUCAGCAUUUAGAUGACCUCCUCCUCAUUGCUUAUUCAAGCAAAGAAAAUCAGCAAAUAAAUUCUGAAAACACCAUGAGGAAGGAGUCAUGCUAUGGUCAAGGUCUCUGGAGGGAAGAUGGAGCUCCUACCAUAAAAUCUAUCUAUGAACCAACUCAGAAAAAAAAAUGGCUACUCAGCUGCUGGGGCUGGUAAGGUGGGGAAAAAUAGGGAAAGGUAGAAAAAGGCAACAUAGAAACAUUUAUAGGACAUAGACAGUGGGCAGAGGAACUCUCAGUGGAAAGACAUUGUCCCUGUACCUGCAAUUGCUUUUCUUCAAUUUUGGUGACUUUAUCUGUUUUAUAUUGGCUGAAAGAAAAGUUGGGGAUUGGUGGCUCUUACAGAAAAUGCUUCAGUUUUCUGUCACUCUAGUAUUAUUUUGAAGUUGAAUAAUAAAACAAUGAUGUCAGUGUGGAUUUGUUUUUGAAAAUUCACAGGUUAGACCACAACUAAAUGAAGUAUUUUCAGUUUGCACACACACUUUUGCUAAACUGAAGUGAAAUAGACUUAAUAGUAUGAAGGGGACUUUUUUGGGGAAAAAAUAAAAUGUAAUACUCAAUUUUCUAAUUAUUAACACACUCUUUCUUGCAAAAUUUUAGAAUGUUAAUAAAAUCAUUAAAUUGAAGGCUAGCUUUAGCUGACUAAAGUGCCUAAUUUGGAGGGUACAUUGGCUUUGUGGAUAUAAUGAAACUUCAAGUUGUGGGUUAAUUUCCUAGUGAACCCUCCUGAGAGUUAAGAGACUUAAUCUUUUCUACUCACUGAAUGAAUCCAUAAGCCAAGGAAACGGGUGGAAAUUUCUGAAAGGGAGGUAUAAUCAAAGAUGAAUGAGAUAUCCUCCACUUGGAACCCUUAAGGAAAUAUGUGAUCUUGUCAUGAAGUAAAAUGAAAAAAAAAUAAAAAUAAAAAGAUGAUAACUCAUGUCAAAGACAAGAUCAUUUAACAUUUAGGUACGUGUUCAGUCAAACAAUGUAGAAUACACCAGUUACUUAUUGAAUCAACAGAAUACAGGAAGCUGCAGAGAGUUGACACACUAAACAGAUUAUUAUCUAUGCCCUCAGACAGGUUGCAGUCUAGUGAGAAAACUGGAGAAGUAAUUUAAUUACAUGAAUCCGAUAUCAUCAACUCCAUCCAGACACGUGGAUGUUAGAGCCUGGGUCCACUGAGACUCACAGUAUUCAGGGAAGGCGUUGUGGGAUAAUAAGGAUGGCUUGAUUUGGCACCCAGGGAGUCAAGAAAAGGAAGCACACAAAGAAAAGGAGGUCAGCUUCCCGACAUACAUCCAUAUUUGAUCAACUGAGUGAAAUCACAAUCAGAAUGACAAUACGAGGAAGCAAGCAACAUGGGGAGAGGGAGACCUAGAGAGGAAGGAAGAGACAAAGGUGAGGUCAAGCGGCUCCACAUCAUGGUGGGUGUGGAAUACUCACAAGAAUUCAAAUUGAGAGCAGUUAGGUACUGCCAUGCCACUGAAACUCAGAGUUCAGAUUAAAAAGCAAAGCUUUCUUUUACCUUUUUCAUAGGUUAGUAGAUUAUAUAAAUGAAGACAGAUUAGAAUAGAUAUUUCAAUAAUAUGUAUGAGAUAUCUUCUAAAAUUCAUAAAUUAUAAGUUAGAAAGACACACUUGAAGUCAAACAGUGAGUGUGAGCAAGACCUAAAAUGGAGAGGCAAGCACAUUAGGACACCACCCUGAGACACUUGAACACUGUGAUCCUGACCUCAGGCUUCCACUAGACUAGCAACAAUACUCAUUUCCCCACCCCAAGAAGAAGAGCCUGUUAAGACAAGCUUCACACUGAAAUCAGAACUCUCAGAAUAAAGACCAACUGUGGAUUUUGUUCCCCCAAAACCAAAGGUGUCUAAGGGACUUUGGUUCUGAGCCAGGAAAAAAAAAAUAUGUUUCCUGAGAACUUCAAGCUACAGAAUGUUCCUCUUUAGGACCUGCAGACUGACUGAGUGUGCUUCUUGGUAGCUCCAGAAAGCACAAGGUUGGUCAUUUGGUAGAAGCUGUGCUGGGCUAGGAGAGAACUCAGGCACUUGGCAGAAAUGUCACUUCUCCAGGCACUCAAGGGAUGCCUAUAUGUAAAGUUAGAAAGGUCUCUUAAUCAUACAAGGAAAUAAGCUCUAGAAAUACAAACAGGUGCAGGCAAGGAAAAAAAACAAGAAACCACAGAAACUGAUCAGCAAAGAUUUUUUUGAUAUGCAAAUAGAUACAGAAUGAAAAUAGGCAUAUUUACUAUGUUUAAUUAAUAGAGACACAUAAGGUCUUAAAAAUAGCCAAGCCGAUUUUUUAAAGCCUAAAUUGAACUUCUAGAUAUAAACCAAUGCUAAUUGAAAUUAAAAAUGCAACGAAGAGGUUUAUCAUCAUAUUUGAACUGAAUUGAGGAGAGACUAGUAAACUAGAAGAUGGAUCAGAAGAAAUUACCCACAAUGUCAUAAAAAUAGAGAAACAUAGGAGAACAUCAUGUACCUUACAUUCGAGAAAAGAUUGCUUUCAAAACAAAACAGUAUCAAACAAAAUCACUUGAAAAGGCAAAAUGUUAAUAUAUUUGUUCCUCAAAGUGAAGAGCACUGUGAAGAAACUUAGUGGGCACCAAGAAAAGAAUAUAUUUCUAUUGACCAAACCAAUUAAUAUAAAGAGUCUAAUGCUUGAAAGGUAUUUCUUUAAAUGAACACACACACACACACAAAAUAGCAAGAUAGGAAGAUUAUACCUAAUUUUAUAAAUAAACAAAUGAGUAAAAGGUGUAAAGAGGCUCUUUCUGGAAAUGAAAACCGAUAGAAAAGGAAGAGAUAUUCACAGCUUCAGUGUACAGGGCUAUGCUAAUUAAAAUAAUAUGAUGUCUAUUCUUCCAACAGACUGGCUAAACUUAAAGACCUGAGCAAUGUCACACGUCAGGGAUGUGGGGGAGGUGGAAGUCCCAUUCACUAUUGAUGGCAUUGUAAAUGGUGGCAGUUAGAUCAGAUAACCAGCUGGCACUCUCAGGUCACCCUAAGUAUGUGCCAACUCUGCCUAAGUAUGUGCAGUUCCCCUCCUGAAUAUUUAUCCUAUAGGGUACUGGACCAGAGUCCAUAAGGAAAACAUAUACAUGAAUGUCAUUUGCAACAUAAUCUAUAUGUAAGGAGUUGAAGGUGCUCACCCAUUUCUAAGAGAGUAGGUAGGUGAGAUGAGGGGCAACACCUUGUAGAGUAUUAUUCCAACCAAAACCAAAAGAUCAUCUGUACACAGAACUGUAUAGACAAGUCUUUAAAAACACAGUACCUAGUGAAGAAAAAUAAUAAAAAACAGAACAGAGGUAUAAUAUAUAAUACCAUUCACUUAAAUAAAAAAUGCAUUUGCAUAAAGAUAUAUAUUACGUGAAAGCAAAUACUAGCAACAUUACGUGCAUUAAACACAUUAGAAUAUCUUCUCCAGAAGAAAAAGAAAAAAUCAAAGGAGAAGUUUUAAAAAACGGAAGCAAUGAAGAGAAAAGAUAAAAGAAAGAAAAAAUGAAUAAAGAAAGAUGUUAAAAGAUAUAGAGAGAUAAAUUAAUAACUGAGGAAAAGUAGAGAGCUGAGAAAUAAUUGCACUUAUAUAUAAAUAUAAAUAUGUAAGUGGAGAACUGAGGAAAAUAUGAAACAUGAGGAAAAUAUGAAAUAACAAUAGAGCUUGUUUUGUAGGUUGAUAAAAAAAAGGACUAGGUUUUCAGUAACUGAAAUUAGAAUACUAUAUCAUACUCCCAAAGACAAAUAUUAAAGAUGAAUUUAAAAUUUUUAUAAAAUAAUAUACAAAUAGCUUUAUGCUUUCAGAAUAGGAAAGGAUUUCUUUAAUAGCACAUAAAAAUCAUGAAUCAGAAAGAGGACAAAUGAAACUAAAAUCCAUUAUGCUAAAAUAAUUUAGGUCACAAUACAUUUUAAAACAAGGUUGAUUAAGAUGUCAUAAAGACAUUGGAACUAUAAGUACAAAGAAAGAGAUGGUUAUUUUCAAUUCACAAAAUAUCAUCUGUGUUACCCCUGGAGUACCUACAAGUGAGCAAGAGAAAUUCAAGUAAUCCAGUAAAAUAUUGGUCAAAAGCAAUAAAGAGGAAUUUCAUAGAAGAGGAAAUGCAAAUCACCAAAUAAUUUAUGAAAAAAUUCUUACCAUCAGUAGCAACUAGAGAAAGGAAAAUUAAAAUAGAAUUGAGAUUCAAGUUCUAACCCAAUGGAUUUAUCAACAUAAAAAAAAUUGAAUAUAUGUAGUACUGGUGAAGAUACGUAGUAAUUGAAACAUUUUUCUGAAACCAGUAAAAAUGUAAAUUUUCAAAAAUCAGUACUAUUUAGCAAUAAUAAAAUUGUGCAUUUUCUGUGAUCUAACAGAUCUAACUUUUUACCUCAUUGGUCAGGAAAUAUAUGUUUAGACAUAUGCAUAUCCAUAAGCAACAUUCAUAAUAACAAUAGAGGUGGAGAUAACCCACAUACCCAUCACCACAGAUAUUUUAGCACUAUCUUUAAUAGGGUAUUGGUCAGCAGUCCAAAGAAGUAAAGUGAAAAGACAUACAAUAAUAAGGAGGACUCUCACUGAGAAUUCUAUUUUCUAAAAUUUCAAAAUAUUCAGAACUAAAUAAUAUACUAAAAAUAUGUGUUCAAAUUUGGAUAAAAUCAAGGGAAUUGUGAUUUGCAUGCAAUGACUGCACUGAGGCAGGGCAGGUUAGAGGAGAGGUUUGCAGAUUUGCCAACAGUAAUGUAUGUGUACAUGUGCAAGUAUGCAGGAAUGUUCUUAGAUUAAAGUACUUAGGUAUUUCUUGUACCACUCUUAUUACUUCUCAACAUAUAUAUCUUGGAAGUUACCCAUUACAUUAAAAAACAAUGUUUUUUUCUAAAAGAUUUGUGAGCAAGGAAAUGUCCUGGGAAAUUUGUUGUUGAAGAAAUAGCAUGGAAUCUGAGAUUAACCAGAAAAGGGUCAUUCAUGAAGGUCAUAUGUAUGAUUCCAUUAUAUCAAAUACUAGAACAGAUAAAUCCACAUAGAUGAAAAGCAGGUUGGUAGUUACCAGGGACUGAUGGGAAAGGGAAACAGGAAAUGACUGCUUAAUUUAUGCAAAUGUUUUAGAAGUUGAUAGAAUGUGAUACACUGUGGAUUGACUAAAUACAAUCACUAGUAUACUUUGAAAUGCUUAAUUUUAUGAUAUGUGAAUCUCACCUCAAAUUUAAAAAAAAUUAAAAAAAUAAUAUAGGCCAGGUUUAAUUUAAUUUUGUUUACUUAAUAACUUACUUACUUCGCUCUGAAUACUUUUUCUUAUUUACUCAACAAGUUGCAAGAAUAAACUCUUGCUGCAAGAAUAUCAUUGGGUAUGCACAGUCCUCAUAUGUGGUAGAGGGUUACUAAAUGGUAGCUGACCUUAUUUCAUUGUCAACAUGGGUAAAGCUGCAUGUAUAGGCAUAGUUUGUCAUUUGGAAUAUCUAAGUUGUUAAAUCUUUGAACAAUUAAUAUGCAAAUUUUCUAAGUUCUCACAAACUACAACAUCAGUUACAAACAAACAAUCUGACUGCCCACUACAAGUAUGAAUGCCACUCUUUUCCCAGAAAAAUAAAAUGAGUUUAAUUGCAAAAGUAUCUAGAUCAAAUGAUGUGAUUUACAUAUUUUUUUCAAGAAUUAAGUAAAAGGAACUAUUUUUUCCUAAUCAUAGGAAAAAAUACCCCGAAGAAAAGAAAAAAUAUAGCCAAUAACUGAGAAUUUAGUGUAAAAGAAUUUCUAUACAGUUAUAAUUCAAAAUUUAUAAUUGUAUGGAUCAAGGAAUAAGCUCUUGGCAUACUAUUGAUCUAUGAUGCAUAGAAGUUGAGGAGGUGACAAUUGAUGUCAUAAUAAAGAAUUCAGCUGUAUUUUCAUUAUUCAUAAGCUAAAGCUCUUCUCAAGUUUAUGAAAUCUGUGAAAUAUAAAAGGUAAAGUAAAAAGCAUCAUUUUCUUAUAGUUCUUUGCUCAGCAACUGCUCAAAAACUUCAAAAUAAAGACAUUACUUCUAGGAAAGCUUUUCAAAAAAUCUAAAGUUGAAGAAUAUACUUAAUAAGCCAUUUAUUUUAUUUUGGUCUUUUCACACAUAAUGGUAUAGUCUGACUUAACCAAAUUCUGACUUAACCAAAUUCUGAAAAAAUCUUGCUUGUAGGGUUUGAUUGCAGAUGAUUUUAACAGAAAAAGCAAAUAGGUAAAAAUGAUGAUACUUCACUUUAUAUGUGAUACAUGUUUGACUCCUAAAAAAUAUUUCCAUUUUUCUUUAGAAACAUAAAAUCACGUGGUUUAUGGUUUGACAUAUGAAGAACCUGGAAGUCAUUACAAUCAUCCUCAGAACAACAACAACAACAAAAUUUUAAUAAUCUGAAAAUCAACCUCAGAAAGUGAGGAGAAGGGUGAUCUGUAGGAAUCAAUCCUUAGUGUAGACAGAAGCCCAGGAAAGGCUGCCCACCCACUGAAGUCAGCACUGCUAAGACAUGUGGUUUAGCAUUUGUCAUUAAUUUUGGGAGAUUCUCAGUCACCAUUACUUCAAAUGAGCAAGUAAGAUUCAUAUUGGGUAUGCAAGUCUGGUUCAACAGCCAACUGUGAGCCAUGUAUUCCAGCACAUCAGCAGCGGAGGGAAGAACAGAAAUUCUAUGCAGAAAUACCACACUCUUUCGUGAUUUAAAAACAAAACAACCUCAGUCAAGGAGGAAUAGAUUGGGAGCUCCUCAGCCUUACAUAAAACACCUCCAGGUAAGGUGUAAUUAAGGUUAAGUGAGGUCCUAAGUGUGGGCCCUCAUAGAAUCUGAACAACAUCUUUAUAAGAAGAGGAGGAAAGACCAAGGAUGUACACAAAGAAAAGUCCAGAUGAGGACACAAAGAAGACAGCUCUUUAUAAGCCAAGGGAGAGGACUUAGGAGAAACUAUGGCAGCCCACACCUUGAUCCUGGACUUGCAUCCUCCUGAACUGCAGAAGGUGAAUCUCCAUUAGGUCCCCAGUCUGUGGUACUUUUUUUAUAACAGCCCCAGUGAACUGGUGCAGUGCCAGAACUUACAUGAAAGAGUUGUUCAGCUCUUAUCUUUUCCUCAAUAUUAUACAAUUCCAAUGAGAUUGUUGCCAUAUUAUAGCAUCCACAGGAGUGCCUGAGACCUCACAAGUCUGAGAGGAGUGGUUGGUCCACAAUUUGAUCCAGGGCAUUUGGGUUUGAGUUAGUUUUGAUUACAUACAAAAAAAAACUUUCUUGUAAAUAUUUUUCUACUCAGAUAACAUGAAACCACUGUACAGCAUGAAUGUAAUGUGGAAUACUUAUGGUAUACAAAAUAAAAGCUGUUCGCUAGUAAUUUGCUUUCAUCUUCUGCAAGUGCAAGUGCGUAACGUAUAGCAAGGUAUCUGAUAAGUUGUAGUAAAACUUGGUCAUGAUGGACAUCAUCAUAGAGUUGGGAAUGGCUAUAUUUCACCUUAAUUGUCCUUAUUGGUUAGUAUUUCUACAUGGGUGUCUAUUCCAAAUAAAUUAUUUUGCUUUAAAAAUG